CAUGUAGGCGGUCUGUCAAGCCAGGCGUGAAAGCCAGGGGCUCAACCCCUGAACUGCGCUUGGAACUGGCGGACUGGAGUCGCUGAGGGGGAACCGGAAUUCCUGGUGUAGGGGUGAAAUCUGUAGAUAUCAGGAAGAACACCGAUGGCGAAGGCAGGUUUCCAGCAGACGACUGACGCUGAGGUGCGAAGGCGUGGGUAGCGAACG
This 207-nucleotide ribosomal RNA is filed under the name uncultured bacterium. RNAcentral's name for it is "partial 16S ribosomal RNA". It matches the Rfam family "Bacterial small subunit ribosomal RNA", at positions 568 to 774 of the family's 1533-position model. The record is from RNAcentral.